This 23-nucleotide non-coding RNA is filed under the name Arabidopsis thaliana (thale cress). The record is from RNAcentral. Lineage: Eukaryota; Viridiplantae; Streptophyta; Magnoliopsida; Brassicales; Brassicaceae.
AUGUAUAAAAUAAUCACAUGUGA